Molecule: ribosomal RNA, 554 nt
Filed under: uncultured bacterium
Lineage: Bacteria
Description: bacterial SSU rRNA
Rfam family: Bacterial small subunit ribosomal RNA
Source: RNAcentral
AGAGUUUGAUCCUGGCUCAGAAUCAACGCUGGCGGCGCGCUUAACACAUGCAAGUCGAACGGGAAAGUGGGCAACCAUGAGUACAGUGGCGUACGGGUGAGUAACACGUGGGUAAUCUACCUCUUAGUGGGGAAUAACCCUGGGAAACCGGGGCUAAUACCGCAUGAGCCUGAGAAGGGAAAGCAGCAAUGCGCUGAGAGAGGAGCCCGCGGCCGAUUAGCUAGUUGGGAGGGUAAAGGCCUACCAAGGCAGAGAUCGGUAGCCGGCCUGAGAGGGCACACGGCCACACUGGCACUGAAACACGGGCCAGACUCCUACGGGAGGCAGCAGUGGGGAAUCUUGCACAAUGGGGGAAACCCUGAUGCAGCGACGCCGCGUGAGCGAUGAAGCCCUUCGGGGUGUAAAGCUCUUUCGUCAGGGAAGAUGAUGACGGUACCUGGAGAAGCAGCUGCGGCUAACUACGUGCCAGCAGCCGCGGUAAUACGUAGGCAGCGAGCGUUGUUCGGAGUUACUGGGCGUAAAGGGUGUGUAGGCGGUUCUUUAAGUUUGGUGUG